RNAcentral lists this ribosomal RNA (497 nucleotides) under uncultured bacterium. Its description in RNAcentral is "partial 16S ribosomal RNA". It matches the Rfam family "Bacterial small subunit ribosomal RNA", at positions 28 to 507 of the family's 1533-position model. The record is from RNAcentral.
GAUGAACGCUGGCGGCGUGCCUAAUACAUGCAAGUCGAGCGAACAGACGGGGAGCUUGCCCCUCUGACGUUAGCGGCGGACGGGUGAGUAACACGUGGAUAACCUACCUAUAAGACUGGGAUAACUUCGGGAAACCGGAGCUAAUACCGGAUAAUAUAUUGAACCGCAUGGUUCAAUAGUGAAAGACGGUUUUGCUGUCACUUAUAGAUGGAUCCGCGCCGCAUUAGCUAGUUGGUAAGGUAACGGCUUACCAAGGCGACGAUGCGUAGCCGACCUGAGAGGGUGAUCGGCCACACUGGAACUGAGACACGGUCCAGACUCCUACGGGAGGCAGCAGUAGGGAAUCUUCCGCAAUGGGCGAAAGCCUGACGGAGCAACGCCGCGUGAGUGAUGAAGGUCUUCGGAUCGUAAAACUCUGUUAUUAGGGAAGAACAAAUGUGUAAGUAACUAUGCACGUCUUGACGGUACCUAAUCAGAAAGCCACGGCUAACUACGUG